This 605-nucleotide long non-coding RNA is filed under the name Amborella trichopoda. Its description in RNAcentral is "long non-coding RNA (ATRI_LNC002670)". Lineage: Eukaryota; Viridiplantae; Streptophyta; Magnoliopsida; Amborellales; Amborellaceae. The record is from RNAcentral.
AAUAAAAAUAAAAAUAAUAAAAAUAAACUUUUUAUAUUGGGUAUUUCCUGUAAGACAUAGUUUUUGGGAGGUUGCUAGAAAACGAUUGUGGGCCCAUUUGGGAGGUUUUUCGCAAUUUUGCCAUUACAUUUCCCUCUCGCUCUCGCGCGCUCCGGAGAAUACGAGUUGCUGUGCUUUCUUUCUCUACCAUUCUUUUCAUCCAUACUCUGGAGAACCCAACCCUACCUUAAUUCCUGUGGUUUUUCAGGACUCGCUUUACCCCUCUCUACUCUGGAGAACCUAACCCUAACUUUAAUUCCUGUGGUUUUUCUGGCCUCGGACCACUACCACUACCGCUCUCUUGAUCCGCACUCUGGAGAACCUAACCCUAGCUUUAAUUCCUGUGGUUUUUCUGGCCUCGGAUCAGCAGGUGAAGAGCGGGAGUGAGCUCUGGAGAAUAUGAUUGGCUGUACUUUCUGUCUCUGCCAUUCUUUUGAUCCGCACUCUGGAGAACCUCACCCUACCUUAAUUCAUGUUGUUUUGUAGGCCUCGCUAUACCGCUCACUCUGGAGAACCUAACCCUAACUUUAAUUGCUGUGGUUUUUCUGGCCUCGGACCAACUGAUG